Molecule: ribosomal RNA, 468 nt
Filed under: uncultured bacterium
Lineage: Bacteria
Description: partial 16S ribosomal RNA
Rfam family: Bacterial small subunit ribosomal RNA
Source: RNAcentral
GACGAACGCUGGCGGCGUGCUUAACACAUGCAAGUCGAACGGAAAGGCCCUGCUUUUGUGGGGUGCUCGAGUGGCGAACGGGUGAGUAACACGUGAGUAACCUGCCCUUGACUUUGGGAUAACUUCAGGAAACUGGGGCUAAUACCGGAUAGGAGCUCCUGCUGCAUGGUGGGGGUUGGAAAGUUUCGGCGGUUGGGGAUGGACUCGCGGCUUAUCAGCUUGUUGGUGGGGUAGUGGCUUACCAAGGCUUUGACGGGUAGCCGGCCUGAGAGGGUUACCGGCCACAAGGGGACUGAGAUACGGCCCAGAAUCCUACGGGAGGCAGCAGUGGGGAAUAUUGCACAAUGGGCGGAAGCCUGAUGCAGCAACGCCGCGUGCGGGAUGACGGCCUUCGGGUUGUAAACCGCUUUCGCCUGUGACGAAGAGUGAGUGACGGUAAUGGGUAAAGAAGCACCGGCUAACUACGUG